Molecule: ribosomal RNA, 253 nt
Filed under: uncultured bacterium
Lineage: Bacteria
Description: partial 16S ribosomal RNA
Rfam family: Bacterial small subunit ribosomal RNA
Source: RNAcentral
UACGUAGGUUGCGAGCGUUAUUCGGAUUUACUGGGCGUAAAGAGCACCGAGGUGGCUUCUUAAGUUGGAUGUGAAAUCUCCUGGCUUAACCGGGAGGCGCCAUUCAAAACUGGAGAGCUUGAGGUCAGCAGGGGAAGGUGGAAUUCCCGGUGUAGUGGUGGAAUGCGUAGAGAUCGGGAGGAACACCAGUGGCGAAAGCGACCUUCUGGGCUGCACCUGACACUCUAGUGCGAAAGCGUGGGGAGCAAACAGG